CCCCCCGUGAGAAUGCCCUUUAGUCCCCUGCCCGGGGAAAAGGAGCCGGUAUCAGGCACUACCAACUGAAGCCCACGACACCUUGCCCACAGCCACACCCUCAAGGGAAUUCAGCAGUGAUAAAUAUUAAGCAAUAAGUGAAAACUUGACUUAGAUAGGGCUAAUUGAGGGCCGGUAAACCUCGUGCCAGCCACCGCGGUUAUACGAAGGGCCCAAAUUGAUAGCCAUCGGCGUAAAGGGUGGUUAAGAUUAUAUUCAAAUAAAGCCAAAUGCCUUCAAAGCUGUAAUAAGCAUCCGAAGAUAAGAAGCUCAACUACGAAAGUGGCUUUACAAGAUCUGACCCCACGAAAGCUAGGGCACAAACUGGGAUUAGAUACCCCACUAUGCCUAGCCGUAAACAAUGACAAUGUACCACCCCCCAUUGUCCGCCCGGGAACUAAAAGCACGAGCUUGAAACCCAAAGGACUUGGCGGUGCUUAAAAUCCACCUAGAGGAGCCUGUUCUAGAACCGAUAACCCCCGUUCAACCUCACCCUUUCUUGUUAUCCCC
Molecule: ribosomal RNA, 549 nt
Filed under: Chaunax abei
Lineage: Eukaryota; Metazoa; Chordata; Actinopteri; Lophiiformes; Chaunacidae
Description: partial 12S ribosomal RNA
Rfam family: Bacterial small subunit ribosomal RNA
Source: RNAcentral